RNAcentral lists this ribosomal RNA (465 nucleotides) under uncultured bacterium. Its description in RNAcentral is "partial 16S ribosomal RNA". It matches the Rfam family "Bacterial small subunit ribosomal RNA", at positions 338 to 795 of the family's 1533-position model. The record is from RNAcentral.
CCUACGGGGGGCAGCAGUGGGGAAUAUUGCGCAAUGGGCGAAAGCCUGACGCAGCGACGCCGCGUGAGGGAUGAAGGUCUUCGGAUCGUAAACCUCUGUCAGCAGGGAAGAACGGUCACUGUGCUAAUCAGCAGUGAAUUGACGGUACCUGCAAAGGAAGCACCGGCUAACACCGUGCCAGCAGCCGCGGUAAUACGGAGGGGGCGAGCGUUAAUCGGAAUUAAUGGGCGUAAAGCGCUCGUAGGCGGUAUGUCAAGUCAAGGGUGAAAUCCCCGGGAUCAACGUGGGAACUGCCUUUGAACCUGGCAAACUGGAGUGUGUGAGAGGAUAGUGGAAUUCCAGGUGUAGGAGUGAAAUCCGUAGAUAUCUGGAGGAACAUCAGUGGCGAAGGCGACUAUCUGGCACAUAACUGACGCUGAGGAGCGAAAGCGUGGGUAGCAAACAGGAUUAGAUACCCUAGUAGUC